This 497-nucleotide ribosomal RNA is filed under the name uncultured bacterium. RNAcentral describes it as "partial 16S ribosomal RNA". It matches the Rfam family "Bacterial small subunit ribosomal RNA", at positions 28 to 507 of the family's 1533-position model. The record is from RNAcentral.
GAUGAACGCUGGCGGCGGGCCUAAUACAUGCAAGUCGAGCGAACAGACGAUGAGCUUUCGCCUCUGACGGUAGCGGCGGACGGAUGAGUAACACGUGGAUAACCUACCUAUAUUACUGGGAUAACUUCGGGAAACCGGAUCUGAUAACGGAUAAUAUAUUGAACGGCAUGGUUCAAUAGUUAAAGACGGUUUUGCCGUCACUUAUAGAUGGAUCCGCGCCGCAUUAGCUAGUUGGUAAGGUAACGGCUUACCAAGGCGACGAUGCGUAGCCGAUCUGAGAGGGUGAUCGGCCACACUGGAACUGAGACACGGUCCAGACUCCUACGGGAGGCAGCAGUAGGGAAUCUUGCACAAUGGGCGCAAGCCUGAUGGAGCCACACCGCGUGAGUGAAGAAGGCCUUCGGGUUGUAAAACUCUGUUAUUAGGGAAGAAAAACUGCGUAAGUAACUAUGCACGUUUUGACGGUACCCAAACAGAAAGCAACGGCUAACUUCGUG